GGAGUGUGCAAGCGUUACUCGGAAUCACUGGGCAUAAAGCGCGCGUAGGCGGGCUUUCAAGUCGGUUGUGAAAUCCCUCAGCUCAACUGAGGAACCGCAUCCGAUACUGUUUGUCUUGAGGACGAGAAGGGAGAGUGGAACUUCUGGUGGAGCGGUGAAAUGCGUAGAUAUCAGAAGGAACGCCGGUGGCGAAAGCGACUCUCUGGCUCGUAUCUGACGCUGAGGCGCGAAAGCUUGGGUAGCAAACGGGAUUAGAUACCCCGGUAGUCCAAGCCGUAAACGAUGAACACUAGGGAGAGGAGACCCCGAUGUCUUCCCUCCUGGAGCAAAUGUAUUAAGUGUUCCGCCUGGGGAGUACAGUCGCAAGGCCG
Molecule: ribosomal RNA, 371 nt
Filed under: uncultured bacterium
Lineage: Bacteria
Description: bacterial SSU rRNA
Rfam family: Bacterial small subunit ribosomal RNA
Source: RNAcentral